Molecule: ribosomal RNA, 253 nt
Filed under: uncultured Eubacteriales bacterium
Lineage: Bacteria; Bacillati; Bacillota; Clostridia; Eubacteriales
Description: uncultured Clostridiales bacterium partial 16S ribosomal RNA
Rfam family: Bacterial small subunit ribosomal RNA
Source: RNAcentral
UACGUAGGGGGCAAGCGUUAUCCGGAUUUACUGGGUGUAAAGGGAGCGUAGACGGCAGUGCAAGUCCGGAGUGAAAGCCCGGGGCUCAACCCUGGGACUGCUCUGGAAACUGUAAAGCUGGAGUGCGGGAGGGGCAGGCGGAAUUCCUGGUGUAGCGGUGAAAUGCGUAGAUAUCACGAAGAACCCCGAUUGCGAAGGCAGCAUACCGGCUCCACACUGACGCUGAGGCACGAAAGCGUGGGUAUCGAACAGG